UACGGGGGGAGCAAGCGUUGUUCGGAUUUACUGGGCGUAAAGGGCGCGUAGGCGGUCAGCACAAGUCAGUUGUGAAAUCUCCGGGCUUAACUCGGAAAGGUCAACUGAUACUGUGCGACUAGAGUGCAGAAGGGGCAACUGGAAUUCUCGGUGUAGCGGUGAAAUGCGUAGAUAUUGAGAGGAACACCAGUGGCGUAAGCGGCUAUCUGGACCGACAUUGACGCUGAGGCACGAAAGCGUGGGGAUCAAACAGG
Molecule: ribosomal RNA, 254 nt
Filed under: uncultured bacterium
Lineage: Bacteria
Description: partial 16S ribosomal RNA
Rfam family: Bacterial small subunit ribosomal RNA
Source: RNAcentral